Molecule: ribosomal RNA, 301 nt
Filed under: uncultured bacterium
Lineage: Bacteria
Description: partial 16S ribosomal RNA
Rfam family: Bacterial small subunit ribosomal RNA
Source: RNAcentral
CAGUCGCCGCGGUAAUACAGAGGGUGCGAGCGUUAAUCGGAUUUACUGGGCGUAAAGCGUGCGUAGGCGGCUUCUUAAGUCGGAUGUGAAAUCCCUGAGCUUAACUUAGGAAUUGCAUUCGAUACUGGGAAGCUAGAGUAUGGGAGAGGAUGGUAGAAUUCCAGGUGUAGCGGUGAAAUGCGUAGAGAUCUGGAGGAAUACCGAUGGCGAAGGCAGCCAUCUGGCCUAAUACUGACGCUGAGGUACGAAAGCAUGGGGAGUAAACAGGAUUAGAGACCCCUGUAGUCCCUGUCUCUUAUAC